RNAcentral lists this long non-coding RNA (781 nucleotides) under Lathyrus oleraceus (garden pea). Its description in RNAcentral is "Pisum sativum (pea) long non-coding RNA (PSAT_LNC035297)". Lineage: Eukaryota; Viridiplantae; Streptophyta; Magnoliopsida; Fabales; Fabaceae. The record is from RNAcentral.
UUAUAUUUCUGAAUAUAUGCGAAAAGUCAAAAACAACUUAUAAUAAAAAACGGAGAUGGUAAGUAGUAAAAUCUAAGGAUAUAUGACUCAAAAGGAUGUAGGUGAAAAUAAUAUUUAAUUAGAAAAGGUUUCCAUCUUAUUAUAGAUCAAACAUGGCGUAAAAUAAAGUCAACACUUUUCAUGGAAAUGCCCCCUAGCUCAUUGAUUUUACCAUCAUGUUCUCGAUCUAACUUAAUUCCUUAAUCAUUUAUCAUUUUAUUUUGUUCACCUUCGUCUUGUGCGCCUCCUUCACCAUCCUUUUCUAUUGAGCCUGUUUGACGAGAGCGAACUUCACCUUUUUUUACUCCUUUAGCCUCCUUAGGUAAUUUUGGAUAGCCAUGAAAAAGGGACCAUGGUUUGUUAUAAUGGUACAGAAUUUCACUUUAGAACUCUUUUGCUGCACCAACUGCAAAUUAACACAUCAUACUUAUUAACUAUCAUAAAGGUCAAUAAGUUUAAGCUAUAGUAAAAAUUGUCUUGGACAUUUUGGGAUUAGAAUAACUAUUUUCACUAUAUUAAAUGAAGACAUGAAUUAAAAUUGAAUUUGUAUAUACAUUGUUUCUCAUCUUUGAAUGACUCAAUUGCCACAAUAAAUAUAAUAAACAGUCCACAAGAAAAAAACACAGAGAUUAAAGAUUUGAUUUUCAUUUUUGAUACACUAGGAAUAUAUUAUAGUUAAUAAUCAGCUGAUAUUUAUAGUUAUUAUCAUACAAUAUAUGUAAAAGAUGAAUAAAAAAGCUUU